UCGAACGGAAGUCUUCGGACUUUAGUGGCGGACGGGUGGGUAACGCGUGAGAACCUACCCUUAGGACGGGGAUAACAGCUGGAAACGGCUGCUAAUACCCGAUGUGCCGAGAGGUGAAAGAUUUAUUGCCUGAGGAAGGGCUCGCGUCCGAUUAGCUAGUUGGAGUGGUAAUGGCACCCCAAGGCGACGAUCGGUAGCUGGUCUGAGAGGAUGAUCAGCCACACUGGGACUGAGACACGGCCCAGACUCCUACGGGAGGCAGCAGUGGGGAAUUUUCCGCAAUGGGCGCAAGCCUGACGGAGCAAUACCGCGUGCGGGAGGACGGCCUUUGGGUUGUAAACCGCUUUUCUCAGGGAAGAAGUUCUGACGGUACCUGAGGAAUCAGCAUCGGCUAACUCCGUGCCAGCAGCCGCGGUAAUACGGGGGAUGCAAGCGUUAUCCGGAAUUAUUGGGCGUAAAGCGUCCGCAGGUGGUUUGUCAAGUCUGCUGUUAAAGCGUGGAGCUUAACUCCAUAUCGGCGGUGGAAACUGAUGAACUAGAGGGUGGUAGGGGUCACGGGAAUUCCCAGUGUAGCGGUGAAAUGCGUAGAUAUUGGGAAGAACACCAGCGGCGAAAGCGCGUGACUGGGCCAUUACUGACACUCAUGGACGAAAGCUAGGGGAGCGAAAGGGAUUAGAUACCCCUGUAGUCCUAGCCGUAAACGAUGGACACUAGGUGUUGCCCGAUCGACCCGGGCAGUGCCGUAGCUAACGCGUUAAGUGUCCCGCCUGGGGAGUACGCACGCAAG
This 787-nucleotide ribosomal RNA is filed under the name uncultured cyanobacterium. Its description in RNAcentral is "bacterial SSU rRNA". It matches the Rfam family "Bacterial small subunit ribosomal RNA", at positions 62 to 892 of the family's 1533-position model. The record is from RNAcentral. Lineage: Bacteria; Bacillati; Cyanobacteriota.